AAUUUCAUAGGCGAUGGAGUUCGCCUGUACAUGACUAUCGUGUUGAUGACUCCUACCUUUUA
RNAcentral lists this non-coding RNA (62 nucleotides) under Megasphaera cerevisiae. Its description in RNAcentral is "Fluoride sequence". It matches the Rfam family "Fluoride riboswitch aptamer (crcB RNA motif)". RNAcentral also lists the same sequence under 1 other name. The record is from RNAcentral. Lineage: Bacteria; Bacillati; Bacillota; Negativicutes; Veillonellales; Veillonellaceae.